AGCUACUAAGGGCACGU
Molecule: ribosomal RNA, 17 nt
Filed under: uncultured Actinomycetes bacterium
Lineage: Bacteria; Bacillati; Actinomycetota; Actinomycetes
Description: uncultured actinobacterium partial 23S ribosomal RNA
Source: RNAcentral